UGGUGGAGUGAUUUGUCUGGUUAAUUCCGAUAACGAACGAGACCCCGUCCUACUUACUAGACCGAGGAUCCUCUCGUUCUCGCUGUCUUCUUAGAGGGACAACUGCUAUACCUUGAACUACAUGAAAUGGGGCAAUAACA
RNAcentral lists this ribosomal RNA (140 nucleotides) under uncultured eukaryote. RNAcentral describes it as "partial 18S ribosomal RNA". It matches the Rfam family "Eukaryotic small subunit ribosomal RNA", at positions 1299 to 1458 of the family's 1831-position model. The record is from RNAcentral.